This 60-nucleotide microRNA precursor is filed under the name Tribolium castaneum (red flour beetle). RNAcentral's name for it is "Tca-Mir-10-P3_pre stem-loop". Lineage: Eukaryota; Metazoa; Arthropoda; Insecta; Coleoptera; Tenebrionidae. The record is from RNAcentral.
UCCCUGAGACCCUAACUUGUGAUGUUAAAUGGACUCUCACAAGCUAGCGACUCGGGUAUU